CCUACGGGUGGCAGCAGUGAGGAAUAUUGGUCAAUGGGCGCGAGCCUGAACCAGCCAAGUCGCGUGAAGGAUGACUGCCCUACGGGUGGUAAACUUCUUUUAUAAAGGAAUAAAGUGAGGCACGUGUGCCUUUUUGUAUGUACUUUAUGAAUAAGGCUCGGCCAGCUACGCGCCAGCAGCCGCGGUAAUACGGAGAAUCCGAGCGUUAUACGGAUUUAUUGGGGUUUAAGGGAGCGUAGUGGAGUUGUUAAGUCAGUUGGAAAAGUUUGCGGCUAAACCGUAAAAUUGCAAUUGAGACUGGCAGCCUUGAGUACAGUUGAGGUAGGCGGAAUUCGGGGUGUAGCGGUGAAAUGCUAGAUAUCACGAAGAAUUCCGAUUGCGAAGGCAGCCUACUAAAAUGCCACUGACAUUGAUGCACGAAAGUGUGGGGAUCAAACAGGAUUAGAUACCCCUGUAGUC
This 459-nucleotide ribosomal RNA is filed under the name uncultured bacterium. RNAcentral's name for it is "partial 16S ribosomal RNA". It matches the Rfam family "Bacterial small subunit ribosomal RNA", at positions 338 to 795 of the family's 1533-position model. The record is from RNAcentral.